UGGUCGAGUGAUCCUGCGCCGAAGAUUUCCGGGGCUAAAACUUACUACCGAAGCUACGGCAUCAGUAAUGAUGGGUAGGGGAGCUUCCCAUACGGGUUGAAGCAUGACCGUAAGGACAUGUGGACAGCAUGGGAGUGAGAAUGUUGGCAUGAGUAGCGAGAUGUGGGUGAGAAUCCCACAGGCCGUAAACCCAAGGUUUCCAGGGGAAGGUUCGUCCGCCCUGGGUUAGUCGGGACCUAAGCUGAGGCCGAAAGGCGUAGGUGAUGGACAACAGGUUGAUAUUCCUGUACUACCGAUAACCGUUUGAGGA
RNAcentral lists this ribosomal RNA (310 nucleotides) under Clostridioides difficile. RNAcentral's name for it is "partial 23S ribosomal RNA". It matches the Rfam family "Bacterial large subunit ribosomal RNA", at positions 1146 to 1464 of the family's 2925-position model. Lineage: Bacteria; Bacillati; Bacillota; Clostridia; Peptostreptococcales; Peptostreptococcaceae. The record is from RNAcentral.